AAGCUAGGGGUGCCGUAAGGCUGAGAAAAUACGACGGAUUACGUAUUUGACCCUUUUACCUGUUCGGGUAAUGCCGGCGUAGGGAAGCUUA
Molecule: non-coding RNA, 91 nt
Filed under: uncultured Megasphaera sp.
Lineage: Bacteria; Bacillati; Bacillota; Negativicutes; Veillonellales; Veillonellaceae
Description: TPP riboswitch (THI element)
Rfam family: TPP riboswitch aptamer (THI element)
About the family: Vitamin B(1) in its active form thiamin pyrophosphate (TPP) is an essential coenzyme that is synthesised by coupling of pyrimidine and thiazole moieties in bacteria. The previously detected thiamin-regulatory element, thi box was extended, resulting in a new, highly conserved RNA secondary structure, the THI element, which is widely distributed in eubacteria and also occurs in some archaea.
Source: RNAcentral